RNAcentral lists this long non-coding RNA (1528 nucleotides) under Chinchilla lanigera (long-tailed chinchilla). Its description in RNAcentral is "lncRNA (ENSCLAG00000022240.1)". The record is from RNAcentral. Lineage: Eukaryota; Metazoa; Chordata; Mammalia; Rodentia; Chinchillidae.
UUUGUCCCAGCCAUCUUGGAGAGUAUCUCUGAGGAAGGGAGAAGACUGGGGCAGGUGUGGAGUGUAUGCUGGAGACCCCCUCCCCCAUCACUCUGCUGCACAGAUCUGCUACAUGCUGAGCACUUGGAGUGUCAUCCUCUACCUGCGGCUGCCCUGGAUUACUGCUCAGGCAGGGACAAGUAUGAGUUCAGAACUCUCCUUGGCAGUAGCAAGGGAUUCAGGGUACAUGGCCUGAAUCAACUAAUUCCUGUCCCACUCCAGGGUUCACGUGGCUCAUUACCCGGCUCUUGGCCUCAGUCAGUACUCCUAACUGCCUUGACCAUCUCAGCCAUCUCCGUCAAUGGCAAAGUCAAGGCUGGCGGUCCACACUUCCUCAACUCAUGGUGCCUGCGUCCAGAGCUUCACAGUUCCACGGGGAUCAUCUUUGUCUCUGCCAGCAUCACAGCUGUGGCUAUGUAUGCAGUGGGCUUUGCAGAGAUCCUCUUGGGUCAGCUCCAGGUAGGUCGUGCCUAUCCUUUCUCUUUUUGUCCUUUUUUCUCAAGUUUGCUGACUUUGGAAGGUCUAACCCUGCACUGUAGCUCCAGCUUGGGCAAAUCAUUUCAAAAGUCAUACGGAGACAUCGAAUCAGCCAAGAAGCACUCCGUAAUGUCUGUGGAACGUGGGGUGCAGCUGCUGUACAUGGACCCGGAAGAUGAGGUGUGGGGGUGCACGUGGGGAAAUGACUAUCUUCUGGGUGUGGCACCGGCCAGCACACCGUGGGAACCUAAGGCAGCUGCCAGGAAACUGAAGCGGGGAUGAGGAAGCUGAAGGGAGGGUGGUGAGUGGGACCAAACAGCAAUGGCGGAGAUGUGGGGAGCAGCUGCCACCUGAAAAGGCUCAGCCAAGUAUGGAAAGAGCUGAUGUUGCAGGUUUCCAUGGAAAGCAACUUGAAGUCAGAUGGUUUUGUUGGGUGAGGCUCCACACCCCAGCUCAAGAAGAAAGGAAAGAGGCCUUGUUCUGAAGGCCUGGUGGGAUGUGCACCAGGCAAGACUAAGCGGAGGGUAGCGAUGAGAAAUGACACGUACUGCCCUCAGAUGUCUACAGUUUUAAGAUCCGCCUCUGGCGUGAGCAGGAAUACCUUGCAGCUGGAGGGAAGAAAGAAAGGAUGCUCAUUUGGCCAGGACUUCUUCAUGGGAACAGGUUGGUGGAAAGGGAAGGAGAAGGCUAAGAGGAGCAGUAAAAUGGGACAAAGAGAAUUAGUGAGGACUUGGAAGUCACCCCUUUUUCUCCCUCUCACAUUUCCCCCUUCUCUUUUUGUCACCCAUGGUAUUUUAGAACCAAGUUUUCUUCUUCUUUUUUUUUUUUUUUUUUGGUUUUUUGGUUUUUUCCGGUACCGGGAAUUGAACUCAUGACCUUGCGCUUUCUAGGCAGGAGCUGUGCUGCUGAGCUAAAUUCCCAGCCCCUUUCUUCUUCCUCUUUUUUUUUUUUUUUAAAUUAUAAAGAGUAAAAGAAGGAUAACAUAAUAAUGGGGGGGCUUACCAAAUUACAG